GGGCGAUUAGCGCAGGGGUAGCGCACUUGCUCGACACGCAAGGGGUCGCUGGUUCAAAUCCAGUAUCGCCCA
Molecule: transfer RNA, 72 nt
Filed under: Heliobacteriaceae bacterium
Lineage: Bacteria; Bacillati; Bacillota; Clostridia; Eubacteriales; Heliobacteriaceae
Description: tRNA-Val
Rfam family: tRNA
About the family: Transfer RNA (tRNA) molecules are approximately 80 nucleotides in length. Their secondary structure includes four short double-helical elements and three loops (D, anti-codon, and T loops).
Source: RNAcentral